This 347-nucleotide ribosomal RNA is filed under the name uncultured bacterium. Its description in RNAcentral is "bacterial SSU rRNA". It matches the Rfam family "Bacterial small subunit ribosomal RNA", at positions 917 to 1271 of the family's 1533-position model. The record is from RNAcentral.
GGGCCCGCACAAGCGGUGGAGCAUGUGGUUUAAUUCGAUGAUACGCGAGACUUACCAGGGCUUAAAUGGGAAAUGACAGGGCAGAGACGCCCCCUUCUUCGGACAUUUUUCAAGGUGCUGCAUGGUUGUCGUCAGCUCGUGCCGUGAGGUGUCAGGUUAAGUCCUAUAACGAGCGCAACCCCUACCGUUAGUUGCCAGCGUGUAAUGACGGGGACUCUAACGGAACUGCCGGUGCAAACCGUGAGGAAGGUGGGGACGACGUCAAAUCAUCACGGCCCUUACGUCCUGGCCACACACGUGCUACAAUGGUAGGUACAGAGGGAAGCCACCCCGCGAGGGGGAGCGGA